Long non-coding RNA from Helianthus annuus (common sunflower), 1131 nucleotides. RefSeq lists it as uncharacterized. The record is from RefSeq and is a predicted model, not a curated record. The transcript has 2 exons. Lineage: Eukaryota; Viridiplantae; Streptophyta; Magnoliopsida; Asterales; Asteraceae.
UUAUUCAGAAACAAAUCUGAAAUUUAGAGAGAGAAUCAGAGCUAUUUGUAGAGAGAGAAAGCUCUGGCGACCACUCCGUCUUUGUAGAGAUCGAAGUUUAGUUGCAGCAUAUUGUUGGUUGUGAAAAUGAAAAAGUGCAAAUCUGUCGUUAUUGUUUGUUGCUGUUUGAACAAAGAAGACAAAAAUUGCAGAUUUUCAGUUUGAUAUUGUUGAUUUGUCGAAAAAGGUUAGUUGUUUGAACGACCCAUCCCUUCCCCUGCCGCUGCUAUAAACACCACACACACACACAUGCUUGAACGGUGACCACCGAUACUAACAUCAAUCACCACUAAAACUACCACCCAAUCUACCCACCACAAUCAUCAAACCACCACCCACACCCAGUAAAUAAGAUCGACAGAGGUGGUUUUAGAGUUGUUUACGAAGGGGUUCUAAGAGAUGGUUCUCAGGUGGCCUCAAGCCUCUUUCUGCUAUAUAUAAAAAAAGAACAAAAAGGGCUAGCUAGUUGUGUUCCAAUUUCAAGAAUAUCAUUUUCUUGAUUUUGAAUCUUUGAAUCUUUGAUAAUGGGGAAUUACAUGGAGACAUGCAUUCAAAGAGAGGAAAAGCCACAACUACAACAAGACAAGGUGGAAGAUAUCAAACAAGAUCCAGGAAAAGUAAGGGGUAACUACGGCAUGGAACGUAGUCGAAUGAGGGUAAAAUUGGUAUUAACAAAAGAUGAGCUUGAGUGGCUGUUGAUGCAAAUGAAGAACAAACAAGGGAAAAGAUUUGAAGAUGUGUUGGGGGAGAUAGAAAAGAGUAGGAUUAGUGGGAAAAGUGUUGCAGGAUGGAAACCUUCUUUGGAGAGUAUUAUGGAGACCCCUGAGGUUCAUCAUGAGAUGAUUAGAUCAUAAGAUGUUACAUGGUGAAGUUACUAUUUUACCCUCUUCUUUGUUAAAGAUCAUGUAUUUUUCACUCUUUGGGAUGGGAUCAUGUCCAGAUUUGUAAUUAUGUGUUUUGAUUUGGUAUUUUAGACUCAUCUAUCAAAGAUAGACAAAAUGUUUUUUUUUACUAAUCUUUUAGUAGUAACUUAUAUUCACUAUGGAUGUAUCAUCAAAUUAUUUCUGGUUAUGAUUUGUGUGCAUUUACUAA